ACGCUAGCUACAGGCUUAACACAUGCAAGUCGAGGGGAAACGGCAUUUAGUGCUUGCACCGAAUGGACGUCGACCGGCGCACGGGUGAGUAACGCGUAUCCAACCUACCCAUUACUGUGGGAUAACCUGCCGAAAGGCAGACUAAUACCGCAUAGUCUUCGAUGACGGCAUCAGAUUUGAAGUAAAGAUUUAUCGGUAAUGGAUGGGGAUGCGUCUGAUUAGCUUGUUGGCGGGGUAACGGCCCACCAAGGCGACGAUCAGUAGGGGUUCUGAGAGGAAGGUCCCCCACAUUGGAACUGAGACACGGUCCAAACUCCUACGGGAGGCAGCAGUGAGGAAUAUUGGUCAAUGGGCGCGAGCCUGAACCAGCCAAGUAGCGUGCAGGAUGACGGCCCUAUGGGUUGUAAACUGCUUUUGUAUGGGGAUAAAGUCAAUCACGUGUGAUUGUUUGCAGGUACCAUACGAAUAAGGACCGGCUAAUUCCGUGCCAGCAGCCGCGGUAAUACGGAAGGUCCGGGCGUUAUCCGGAUUUAUUGGGUUUAAAGGGAGCGUAGGCCGGAGAUUAAGUGUGUUGUGAAAUGUAGACGCUCAACGUCUGACUUGCAGCGCAUACUGGUUUCCUUGAGUACGCACAACGUUGGCGGAAUUCGUCGUGUAGCGGUGAAAUGCUUAGAUAUGACGAAGAACUCCGAUUGCGAAGGCAGCUGACGGGAGCGCAACUGACGCUGAAGCUCGAAGGUGCGGGUAUCGAACAGGAUUAGAUACCCUGGUAGUCCGCACAGUAAACGAUGGAUGCCCGCUGUUGGUACCUGGUAUCAGCGGCUAAGCGAAAGCAUUAAGCAUCCCACCUGGGGAGUACGCCGGCAACGGUGAAACUCAAAGGAAUUGACGGGGGCCCGCACAAGCGGAG
Molecule: ribosomal RNA, 910 nt
Filed under: uncultured bacterium
Lineage: Bacteria
Description: bacterial SSU rRNA
Rfam family: Bacterial small subunit ribosomal RNA
Source: RNAcentral